UCGAGGAUAUUUAGCAAUGGACGAAAGUCUGACUAUGUGACGCCGCGUGAGGGAUGAAGGAUUUCGGUUCGUAAACCUCUUUCGAUGGGGAAGAAUGAUCUACUUAAUCAGUAGACUUGACGGUACCCAGAGAAGAAGCCACGGCCAACUCCGUGCCAGCAGCCGCGGUAAUACGGGGGUGGCGAGCGUUACUCGGAUUUAUUGGGUGUAAAGGGCAGGUAGGCGUCCUUGCAAGUUUUGGGUGAAAUCCUAAGGCUCAACCUUAGAACUGCCUAAAAAACUGCGAGGAUUGAGGCUAGAAGAGGAGAGCGGAAUUCCCGGUGUAAGGGUGAAAUCUGUAGAUAUCGGGAGGAACACCAGUGGCGAAAGCGGCUCUCUAGGCUGGAUCUGACGCUAAACUGCGAAAGCUAGGGGAGCAAACAGG
Molecule: ribosomal RNA, 424 nt
Filed under: uncultured bacterium
Lineage: Bacteria
Description: bacterial SSU rRNA
Rfam family: Bacterial small subunit ribosomal RNA
Source: RNAcentral